This 78-nucleotide transfer RNA is filed under the name Bacillus anthracis str. Sterne. RNAcentral describes it as "tRNA-Gly". It matches the Rfam family "tRNA". From Rfam's summary of the family: Transfer RNA (tRNA) molecules are approximately 80 nucleotides in length. The record is from RNAcentral. Lineage: Bacteria; Bacillati; Bacillota; Bacilli; Caryophanales; Bacillaceae. RNAcentral also lists the same sequence under 3 other names.
GCGGAAGUAGUUCAGUGGUAGAAUACAACCUUGCCAAGGUUGGGGUCGCGGGUUCGAAUCCCGUCUUCCGCUCCAAUU